AUGUUUCCCAUGUAGGAUGUUUUCAGUCCUUUGUAGGAGUGCAUUUUGUAAUUCUGUUGGACCUAAAAUGUGAGAGGAAAAAAAAUAAUUUUCUUGUAGGUUCCUGCCGUUGUUGAUCAGGCUGGUUGCAAUGCAAAUGAGGAUAUAAAUUUUAGAUUCACCGGGCAUGCUCAGUUUCUUUAGGUUAUUAUUAUUAUUAUUUUAAAUAUAUAUGAAACCUAUGGUAUUUUAUUCAUGUUGUCAACUCUCUUUGCAUCUCUAGCAUUGUUCUUUCCAAAUUUAUUUGCUUCCAUAUUGUGCUGUGUAUCACUCUCCUAAAUAUCCUAUGUUUGUAGGUUCACCGUGUCUGGAAAAGUUGUGGGAUCUGUUGGUGGAGAGAGCUGUUCAAAUAAAAAUGGGGGUCCAUCAAAUGUAAAUGUUGAGCUUUUAUCUCCCACGGGUGAUCUUGUCACAUCUGUUUUAAGAUCACCAACAGGAAGUUACUCGUUCACUAGCAUUAUCCCAGGUCUGUAGUUCACUUGCUAGUGACCCAACAAAGGGUCGACUGUUCUAAACUUGUUCUGGAACUUCAUCUGAAAACCUCAUUUAACCAUCUCUAAAUAAUGUUAAUAAGUGUUUUCUGGAAAUAAUGAAUUUGACUUAUAGCAAACCAUAAUUUAUUCUCAGUAUUCUGGUUUUCUUGUUAUUCCUGUAAAUCUUACCUGAUGCUCUUCUUGUUUUUAAUUGUUAUUGAUUGUCAAGAACAUCGGUUCACUGACUUAACAUUAGCUGUUCUUGGGUUUAGGAAAAUACAAACUACGUGCUUCACGCCUUGAUUUUAAUGUUGAAGUUAGAGGUUCUGCAGAGGUCAGAUGCUUGUUUUCUUUUCAAAGGCUUUCUAUUUCGCCUUGCUGCUAUUUGUUGUGUGGCUCUCUCCCCCCAUACUCACCAAAAAACACACAUGUGCACGCCUAUAUAUUUUUGCUUGAGCUGCAACUACAUUUUACUUGUUGCAGGUUGAAUUGGGGUUUGAGAAUGGUUUGGUUGAUGACAUUUUCUUUGUCCCUGGCUAUGAUAUUCGUGGAUCUGUAGUUGCUCAGGUAAUUUUUUGCACUAAUAAUUGUUUCACAAAAUGCAAUUUCCUUGUAUUGCUUUCUUAUAAAAUAAGCUUUUCCAUUCUUUUCACUUUCAUAUUUUUACUUACUUAUUUCAUUUUAUAAAAUCUUUGGGAAUCAAGUGGGUUUGAGGUUGAAGGUCCCCGGUGGUUUGCGUAUUUUAUUCUGUGUCACUUGAUUAAAAAUUUCUUCUUUAAUAAAUUUUAUGUCAUUUAUCAUUUAAUUAUAAACUCUAGUGUGCAUGAACAAGAAUGAAUAUUAUAGGCUUUAUAGCAUUCGAACUGUGGAAAUAGAAUACUUUUACAGUAUUUUCCACAUCAAUUUGCAAUGAUUUAUCAACAAAAUAAUUCAAGGAUUUAUAUCGGCAUGUGUUUGUGUUUCUGCCAUGUGGCGUAGGUGAUGGAUGCCUCAAUGUUUUCUUUUCACAAAUUUAAAAUUAGUUUCAUAUAAACAGAGUUGUAUUUCUGGAUGUAGCAGUUUAUUGUUGUUUCGUUUCAGUUGAUAAAUUGUAGGCUGCUCCCAUCUUCGAUAUGUUAUAGUCUCUUUAACCUUCAAUUUACCGGAGUUUUCUUUCUCUGGUUAUUGACAAACAAGAGUCUUGAUAAGUAUGCACCCGUGUGUGUAUGUGGAUACGGAUAUAUGUUUGUUGAUAAGUAGAUGGAUCCUCACUUACCAAUUGGGAUUUGAAUCCUACAUCUUCCUUCUUUGGUGUGUUAGGAGAUGCGACUCAAGCUAACAGCUGAUGUUAUGCACACAUCAUUGCAUUCGUUAUUACGACUGAGUACAAGAUUGAUUUGGUCCGCAUGCUUGUACUAAUUUGUGUAUCAAUAGAUGUUAUUUCCAUUACUAGGUGACUUUCUCUGUUUCUGGUUAUGUUUGGUUGUUGUUGGUAUUUUAAUAAUGAAAAUGCUGAAAAUGCACCACAUUUCCUUAUGCUAUUCCUAUCACCUUAUAUGCAUAGUGUGACAUGUUUAAUUGCACAAAUGCAAUUUUGCUAUUGAGUAAUGUGGCUUUUUGAUAAUUUUGUUGUUUUCUUAGUUGCAACCUUGCAAAAUGUGAACCUUGGUAGUGGAAUACAGUCUUGGAUGCAAUUCCAUUUUCAACAAAUGCACUCCUUAGCUAGCAAAGCCAGUUAAUCUCAACCACCCCGUUUUGAGUAAACUGCUCACAGUAGUUGGUUUGACCUUCUUUUCAUAGAUGCCAUGCUCUAUUGUUUCGUAACAUGGUUUUAACUGUUUGGAGAUAGGAGACCCUGCAGAUAUCUGAAGAACUUGGGUGGACUGAUAGUGUCAUGCUUUAUUAUAAAGGGAGAUCCCGUCUUAGGGGUUCACAUUUAUUUAUACUCAAAUGAUAUCUCGAGGGUGGACUGUGCCCUUGGCUCUGGUAAUGCCCCUGGGCAAAGAAAAGCUCUCUGUCAUGCUGUCUCUGAUGCAGGGGGAAUGUUCACAUUUAAAUCAAUACCUUGCGAUUGAAGAUGAAUCAGUCAGAGAUCGAGGCAGAGAUACAUACUCUACGUGAUGGAGGUUUGUUGAUGUAGGCAAGCAUCUAUUGUCUCUGCCAUUUUCUUCAGUAUUCUCUGAUGUCUGACUCUGCUGAAAUUUGUAGAUUCACAAUUUAAUGUUGCACUAUAGUUAUGUCUUAUACCUAAACUAUCAUGAAUUGGCUUUUAUUCAGCAUUGUAUAUCUCAAUAUAAGUGCAUAACAUAAUUUUAAUUGGUCACUUCAAUUUGUCACUGUUGGAUGGAAACAGUCAUGUUAUAUAUGCAGAGGAAGAAGCUCUUGGAACUCGCCUUCUGAUUGAUGGAAGGACUUGCUUGCUUUAGGUGAUUACAAAUAUUUUCUUUCCUAAUAAUAACCAAAACCAUACUAAGACUUGAAUCUGUUCGAUUCUUAAAUUACCAGGCACAAUUUAUGGUACAAGGAGGAAUGAAAUUCUUUAUUCUAUGGGUUAUUUUAUUAAUUUACUUGGUAAAUUAUUUAUGUAUAAAAUUCUUUCUGGCAACUGCU
This is a non-coding RNA of Camellia sinensis, 3101 nucleotides long. The record is from RefSeq and is a predicted model, not a curated record. Lineage: Eukaryota; Viridiplantae; Streptophyta; Magnoliopsida; Ericales; Theaceae.